CUCCGCAUGGGGGAUCCAGCGAGACAGCGAACGGGGAGUGGGAAGGCGCAGGCGCAGCUGGCGCCUCCCUUCCUGUUACCCUCCGCAGUCCCAGGGUGGGCGCGGCCGGGACGGGGACGGAGGUCCCAGGUGGCACCCCAUUCAGUUUUCCCGCUCCGCGGCUGUGCCGCGAGCCGCUUACAGGCCUGUUGCCAUGGGAACUCUGACUCCCCUCACCCGCCACGCCGCGCGGGCGCCCACCCAGUGGUCCUUAGGAGCGCGCGCCAGCAAUGGCAGCAGCUCUGGUAGGGGCCGCGCCCUCUGCGACCCGCUGCCCAGCCCGUUCGUCGCCGCCGGCCGGGCUCUGAGCCCCAGUACGGCCCCCAACGGCCCCCAGCGCCCGCCGGGCCGCCGGCCCAAGGAGCGCGGGCCGCAACCUUCAGGGCCGCCUGGGCGGCCGACUCGAUAGCUCCUCGUCAGAGGGCGACGCGCGACAAGGCGGUGGGAACCCAACUGUACAGGAAGGGCUCCAGAAAGUACAAGACUGUAACUGACAAAGACAAGGGGGUGAGCAGGAAGUGGCUUCUCAAGGUAAUGGCUCACCUGGUAUUGUGAACAUCGUCCCCUGGAAAAAGUGGCUAAGAGCGAGGGCCUUCUGAUGAACUGGUGGUGCUUCUGAGGUAACUGCAUCUUGUGAUGACUGAAAGGGACACACUGCAGGCUGGCCUCUGCUGGGAGUGCUUUUAAGGACAGUCAGCACUCAGGAUAAAUCCUGGUUCCAGCAGCUCAGGCCCUUCCUGGUGGCCCAGCAUCCAGGAGAGUGAUUUUUCCAGGAAAGAAAAGUCUGGUGGGUAUCUGCUUUCCCUGCAGUGAGAAAGAAAAGUGCCAGGGCCCAGCAUUAACCCAGGGCCGGGAGGAGGGCACCCAGGGCAGAGGGGUGUCGCCUGCUGGGCUGCGGCUCCUGACAGCAGACCCAACCUCUGGGAAUAGUAAGUCUUGUGCCCACCCAAUGUCAGGAAGUGACAGUUAGUUGCAUCUUUGGGUGUUCAUUGACUGAACAAGUUUCACCAUAAUGAGUCACUCCAAAGAG
Long non-coding RNA from Manis pentadactyla (Chinese pangolin), 1069 nucleotides. RefSeq lists it as uncharacterized. The transcript is spliced from 3 exons. The record is from RefSeq and is a predicted model, not a curated record. NCBI's taxonomy places the organism in Eukaryota, Metazoa, Chordata, Mammalia, Pholidota, Manidae.